UUUUGUGACAUUUAUAUUCGUGUACUAUCGUGUACUAGAAGUCAGUUCCCGUUUUAUCAUUAUUGGGAAGAAUGGCUCUUAGCUGAAGCUUCUCUCUUCUCUGAAGCUUAUUCUGAAGACUGAACAACAAGGGAAGAGGUAUAAAGCUUUGUCAAGCUUGUUAAGGAUCUAGGAGCAAUGGCUAAUAUCCAGAUAUCCCAACAGUGCUCCUCUUGGCUAUACUAACGGACGAGACUGGACAGUUUGAGGACUGGAGUAUGACCUGCUCAUUCGAGCGUUGCUGGGUAGCUCAGAGACAUCAAGAGAAUCUACGUUUUCUCAAGCAAAAUUUAACUGAGUUACGAGUUGGGGCCUAGAAUCACAGAAGUCCAGCAGCCUGCUAAAUCUUUUUGAAACGUAAUUUGAAGGCAUUCAAUCAUCCUGAAGUUUCCCUGGGUCACUGUAACUGUGCUGCAGCACAACUGGCAACUCCCCAGGCCUUUGUGAAGCAGCUCCCUAUGUGCAUCUUUUGUGUACUCACUCUGUGCAU
Long non-coding RNA from Halichondria panicea, 529 nucleotides. RefSeq lists it as uncharacterized. Lineage: Eukaryota; Metazoa; Porifera; Demospongiae; Suberitida; Halichondriidae. The record is from RefSeq and is a predicted model, not a curated record. The transcript has 3 exons.